UCCCUAAUUUUUUCACUCAAUCCCCAUUUCGCAAAAACCCUACGCAACAGAUUUUUCAUCUCCAACAUUCCAUCGUCGUGAACCCUAAAAGCAUGGAUCUGCCUCUCUCGGAAGUAGCCGAUGGAGGAUCCUCGCUCUAGUGUUGCGUCUUUUGCUACCAAACGUGUCCCUUCCGCGUCUAGCAUCGUGAAUCUCAUUCCUACCUCACAGCAAUCCAAUGUGCACGGGAAUGUGGAGGAGGAUGGAAAGCAAGAGCUAACAGAAGGGAAAAGGUGCGUGAGUUUGUUAGGGGUCAUUCUCAGGCAUGGUGAGGGUUUCCGAGGAUAAGGAAUCCAAAUCCACAGAUCCAUUCAAACUUCUAAAGGGUGGGCUUCCCCAAAAAAGUUGAAGAAUAACUCUUUGAUAAAUAUAAGUGGAUAGAUUCAGAUGUUUGAUCUUCAAUUCUGGCCAUUGGCGUACCGCGUACACCUACUAAACUCUUUGAUAUGUUAGUUUUUAAUAAAUUUGGCUUCCAUAUUUUGCCCAUAUUUACUUGAUUUUGUUUGGAAGGUGAAGCCUAUAUUGUCCUUGAGGCUUCUUACUAUCCUUCAUUUUAGUUCUAAAAUUAUUUUUGUUUUAUUCACUUGAAUUUGGUACCCUAUUUAAGAAUCUAAUUAUAGAAAGAGGGAGUAUGAUACAGAGAAUAAAUGUACUAUUUUUCUAAAUUCUAGUACGGGCUCCUUUCCUUUGAAAUGUUUUCUUAUUUUGUUGUUCAUUUUGUUAAUUGAAAAGAUUGUUCUGAAAUGGAUUUAUUAUAGAAUAGAUGCUCAAAUAAAUUUUUUUACAUAUAUAUGCAUCUAUAUUCAUUUUUUUUUCAGUGUUAUGGACUUAUGGAUGAAUACAUACUAAAUUAUCUAGGGUCCUCUAUCAUCCAAUCUAACCUAAUUUUUUUUUCAUUUGUUGUAAACUGAUUCUCUAGGUCCAUCAAUCACAAUAUACUCAUCAAGUUUGUUUGUUUCAUGGAUUAUAGACUAAGAAUGUUGCUGAAGAUUAUAUAGAUUAGAGUUGAGUCAUUGUAAACCUUUUAUAGUUCUUCUAUUCCUAAUAUUUCAUAGACAUAUCAUGCAAAAUUAGCAUCGAGGGAGAUGUGAAUAGGACUAACAAACUUUUUCUGAUAUUGGCAUCCAUGUUUUUCUCCCUUCUAUUUUUUUUAUAGAACAAGAUAAUUAAAAUAUGAAAUUAAAGAUGUGAUUUUUUACCAUUACAUUGUCAUUACCUUGUAGUUACUUUUACAAAUACUUGAAGAAAGAAAAUAGAGUUGAGUAUGUUUCAUUUAUAAAUCCUGGUCACAUACCUACAUGCGAUGUGGGUGAAAAAGGUAGUAAAUUGUCACAACAUAUUGCUGCUCAGUUGGAUCGAACAAAGAUAGCAUCUUCUUCAUCCCAUAAAACACUGGCUAAGAUUUUAAUUAUUUAUCAAUUCCAACUACAUGCUAGUCAAUAUUAUAUUUUCAUUUGUGCAAGUAUCAUUGGAUUCUGACUAUAAUUAAUGAAGAUAAGAAUAUGAUAUAUUUAUUGGACUCUUUGAGUAACAGGAACCAAGACCAUACUUGGCAAACUAUUAUGACCAAGUAGGUAAUAGAUUAUACUGAUUUUGAAUGCAUUCAAUUCAUUAUAGGUUGAAAAAAUAACUUUCUAUUUUUUACAAUAUAAAGUAGUGGUGUCAAGAUAUACAAUGCAUCAAGGGGUAUUUUCAAAAGGACCUGGUUUUAAACAAUUGAUAAUAUACAUUGUGACUAUGUAUUUAGACAUCAAUUAAUAAUUCUUAUUAUUUGGAUUGUGACUUUUUGCAUGACAUUUUUAAUUUUAUUAGGGUAAUCUUAAACAAAAUGGUAGUGUUGAAUGUGGAUAUUGUGUGAUGCAGUAUAUGAAAGAGAUAAUCUUAGAUGAAGAUCCAUAAUUGGAGAGGAAGGUGAAUUUUUUCUUUAUGAAAUAUUUUCUUUAUAAAAUAUUGAGUCAUUUUUCAUUGACCCUCAAACUUCUGUUAAUACUUCAGUUUGCAGUAUCAAAAAAUAAAUAGUAUUACAAACAAUCUUAGUAUGAUGAAGUCAGAAGUGAAUAGAGUGAAUUCGUCUACUUCUAUGUGGGUGCCUAAGCGUAGGCUAUGAUAUAAAUUUUAGAUUGUAUUUAGAUAUUUAUAGAUACAAAAAUUUUUGGGUUAUGGUUAAACAUGACUUUUAUGAAUACACUUUUGGGUUGUAUUUGAUAUAUAUUAGUGAUAUAUGUGUUCAAUUUUGGUGGUGAAAAAUAUUGUGUUAUAGUAAACUAUUAUGAUAUACACUUUUGUUAAUUAAAAUUUUAUUAUAGUAAUAUAUGAUCAAUUACGUCAACAUUAUAAAUACAAAUGAUGGAGUAAUACAACAUAAAAGACUUUAAUAAAUUUAAAUAGUGGCGUAGUUAAAGAAACUAUUUACUUUGUCACUGAUCAAAUUUGUGAAAUUGUUCGUAUGUAUUACUUUGCUAAAUUAAAUUUUUUUAUUAUAGUAAAAUAUGUUUUAUUACUUCUAUACUCGAUGAAGUAAUAUAAUAAAAAAUACUUUGACCAAGCUAAAUUAUGCAAAAGUAAAAUUAAACAUUUACUACACCAGAAUACAAAAGUUGUGAAGUCGUAUAUAUAUUUUACUUCGUCAAUCAAUGUAACCUAUGAGGUAAUAUAUCAUCAACCACUUCAAUACUUUUAUUGAUCUCGAUGAAGUAAUAGAGUCUUUUUACUUUGAGAAUGGUCUGAUUUUGAACCAGAUUUGGAGCAGUGAUAGACUUCGGUAAUUGUAUAGUGAAGUAAUAAAUUGACCCUUUUACUUCACGUGCGUCUACUUCAGUAAUUUUAUAUCUAUUACUUCGAAUAAUAUCUGAAAUCUAUUACUGAUUUUCAUAUAGUUAUAAUCUAUCAUCACGUUCAUGUAUCUCUAAAGGAAACAAACAAGUAAGUUUUUUAUGUAUCCUGGCUAUGUUCCUUCACAUGAUUUAACUAGGAUGUUAUGUAGAGAGAGCAUAAGAUCACAUGAUUUAACUAGGAUGUUAUGUAGAGAGAGCAUAAGAAACUAUAUUUAAUAAUAAUUUCUAACAAUUUUCACAUUAGGAACUGUAAAAUAAGCAACAACAAAAAUUAAAUAUGAAUAUGUAGAGAAAAACAAACGGUUAAUAUUGGUAGAAUUAUAAAUCAUAUACAGUUAAAAUAUUAGAAAAAAAUAAAAGCUUUUAUGAAAAGAAGAUUACCGUAUGAGUACUGAUUUUUAAAAUUCAACACCAUACUAUGGUGUUAAAUAAUUUUUUUCUUUUAUAAUUUCAAUAUAUCAAUUAUACUGAAAUAUCAAAUAAUUUUAAUAUGACCAUACUAUGGUGUUAGAUAAAUAUUUUUUCCUUUUAUAAUUUUGGUAUAUCAAAUAUAUCGAAAAUAUCAAAAUACCAAAUAAUUUUAGUAUGAACAAUAUGUCAUUUAAUUAUAUUGAAAAUUCAAUAUACCAAAAUUUCGGUAUACUAAAAUUUUAGUUCAGUAUAUAUUUUUUAAAUAUAGAAAUUUUUAAUAUGAUAUAAUAUAAAAUUUUUGAUAUCCUACUAUAUACAACCCCUAGAGAAAACUAAUGUUUGACAAACAAGAAAUCACGGUUUUUCUUUUUGAAUCACAGUUGAGCUUUCUUAGCUUUACUACAUUUUGGAAUAAUAAAUUUCAUCUUUAGUAGAACUCUUGCCAAAAAAGGACAAACUGUUGCUAUUGAAGGUCAACCGUACUAUAAGUUUAUAAAGCCUUUAUCCAUUUUCUUCUAAUGUUUGUCUCAAAUAUCGAUGUCCUUGUUGUAAUGCAUCUAUUCUCAUCUUCUGUGCUAAUGGUUUGGGCUUGUGAUAAGAUAUUUUAUAAACAAUUAUUUAAUUGCUAUGUAUGUAGUUAUUAGUUUCAAACACCAAGAUCCUAAUAGCAACACCAUUACCAACUCAAAUUUACAGAUAAAGAAUGAUAAAUAUUUUUCAGACAUAUCAAACGUUAAAAUUCUAAAUGAACUUAAAUUUUUAUAAAAAUUUAUUGAAAUAUCUCCAAUAGUUAAAAUUUUAAGUGAGAUUUUUUAGUCAACAUAACGUAUAAAAGACAAAGAGUAAAUUUAAAUUUUCACUACUACUUUUAAACUAUAAGUCUCAAACUUCAUUUCUAUAAUGAUUCAAACUUUCUUAUUGAGCUUUUUUUUUAUUUUACAGAACUCUCACACGGACCUUACAUUAGAAUGCCCUAAAACAGUUUUACACAACUCAUGACCAAAGGAACACUUGAUUUCUUCACAACCUUUUUAUAUACCAUUGAUCAGUAUUUCUUUCUUUCUUUUUUAAUCUACGCAAGUUAUUGUCCAUGAAAUUGAUUAAAAAGUUUACAAGAACAAUUGUGCCUGAAAAAAAGUGGUGCAAAGAGAGUACACUUACAUUUUACCCCCUGAGAUAGCUUCGAGAGCACAUCAACAAUUGGCUUCUUUCCUCGGCUUGGGCUUCAUCCUAGCGAAGAUGCUCCAUGCAGCAGCCUUUGGCUUCCCGAGCUUCUCGAUCUCCUUCUUCAUGCCCAGGCAUUCCUUCUCGAGGUCGAUGAUCCGCUGCCUCACGUCGACAUUCCGCUCGCUCUCCCUUCGUUGCGCGUCGACGACCUCCGCUCGGGUUGCGCGGCUGGUGGUCUUUUGCAGCAAAAGGCUGGCCUGGGUUACACGGGCGGCGUUGGGGGGAUUCUCCAGGUUGUCGGAGACGAAGAACCAGCUCGCGACCGAGGUUCGAAGGCGGAGCUGCUCGAAGAAUAGCACUUGAACGAUGACCCGGAGGGGGAGCCUCUCGUUCUGCGCGGCGUGGGUGCAGGCUUCCAGGGAGAGCUUUUGGCAGUUCAUGAGCCGGCAGAGCUGCUCCUUCUCCGCCUCCGUGAGCCAAGGAUGCGACUGAAAUGGGAGCCAAGAUGUGAAUUAGCAAUCAGGGGACUGAUAUUGGUGCGAAGUGAACUUUUUGGCUUUUACCUUGAGGUAUAUGUCGACGGCUCGAUAGAUGCCGUCGUCGAGAGGCCGGCCGUAGUCCGGCACGGCGGCCGUGAGUGCCAUGAACUUGGGAGGCUUCAGAUUCACGUCCGUAGACACCUCCGCCAAGUAACCGUCCACCAGCUUCGCCACCGUCGUAAGCGGCGUUAACGCCGGCGACGACGCCCCCGGCACCAGCUGCGCUUCGUCCACCACCCCCGACAAUGCCACCGCCGGCGACUGGUCGAUCUGCAUGAAGUGGUCCAGAAUCCUCUGCACGCAGUCGAUGUCGUAGAGCGUCUCCACCGAAUACCCCAAAUUGGGGAUCAGGAUGUCCUCCAGAGUCGCCUCGUCCAGCUGCGACCCAAUCCGCCGCUCUAGGUUUUCGCGGCACGAAGCGCUUGCCCGCAGGAUCAUGGCGGUGCGGAGCAUGUUGAGGAGGAAGGUUGAGGUCGUCACGCCCUUGCGCAUCGGGAGGAGAUCCACGAUCUCUUCGAUGAACACCCUCUGGUCGCUCUCCGACGGCGCCGAGACCGGCUCGCCCUGGGCGGAGACGGCGCGGAAGCUCAGGUUGCGGCUGAGCCCCGGGAGGAACCUCUUGGCGUAGAACAUUAGGGCUCCGGCUAUGCUCUCCGGCUUCAUCCCCUUCGCCUCCAUCGCCAAGAUGAGUCUUUUAAAAAGGGGCAAACUCAGAAACAACACGUCUUCGUACCACCAGUCGGAGAUCGACGCCGAGCUGGAUGUCUUCGCCGGGACGAUCCCGUUCCAAGCCGGGACGCCCUCGUCCGGGGUCUUUGCGGCCGCCGGACAUCCGAAGACGGUUGAAUCCGCGCAAGCUUUGGAGGCGAGGGAGUUGAUGCAUCUGGAGACGAUCUGAAGGUCCUCGGCUUGGGGGAGGACGCUCUCGCAGGCCUCGAGCGCCUUGGUGGAGUCCUUCCAGCUGGCGAAGAUCUGGUCGAGAAAUUUCUCGGUCUGGAAGAUGAGGUUUCCGCCGGCGAGGUCCUCGGUCAUGCAGAGGUGCUCGGCGGCGCAGCGGAGGGAGACGACGUUGAGGGCGUUGAGCUCGAUUCGGACGUCGUAGCAGAACUUGGCAACGAGCUCGAAGGCCUUGGCGCCUCCGGGGAUGUCGUGCAGCUGGAGGAUGCAGGAGGAGUCCUUGCCUUCGCCGCCGCCGCCGCCGCCGCCGCGGAACUCGCUGAUUGCUUUCCUGAGGAGGCCGCUCCGGUUGAGUAGUGGAAACUGCACUAAUUUGCUGCAGAUUUAAUUGCUGAAAGAAAAAGGGGGGAACAAUAGAGAUGUGAAAUUAAUAAAACUCACCAUGUUUGGCCUUCAAGCUGGAAAGUCUCAGGUUUGCUGCCUAUCGUCAUGGAAGCCAUAGUCUCUUGAUUAGCUAACGUAGAAGAAGACGACUCUGUUCCUGCUGUAGCUGCUGUCGUCCAUGCUAGAGAAAAGAAAGAAAGACAGAGAAAUAGAUUGCAGAGGAGGAGGAAUCCUAAUUUGCAAGUUUUUGGAUCUGAGUCCGAGUAUUGAGGUG
Molecule: long non-coding RNA, 6545 nt
Organism: Zingiber officinale
Lineage: Eukaryota; Viridiplantae; Streptophyta; Magnoliopsida; Zingiberales; Zingiberaceae
Exons: 3
Source: RefSeq, a predicted model, not a curated record